GACGUAGGGCGCGAGCGUUGUCCGGGUUUAUUGGGCGUAAAGAGCUCGUAGGCGGCUUGUCGCGUCGACUGUGAAAACCCGUGGCUCAACCAUGUGGUCUGCAGUCGAUACGGGCAGGCUAGAAUUCGGUAGGGGAGACUGGAAUUCCCGGUGUAGCGGUGAAAUGCGCAGAUAUCGGGAGGAACACCGGUGGCGAAGGCGGUUCUCUGGGCCUUACCUGACGCUGAGGAGCGAAAGCGUGGGGAGCGAACAGG
Molecule: ribosomal RNA, 254 nt
Filed under: uncultured bacterium
Lineage: Bacteria
Description: partial 16S ribosomal RNA
Rfam family: Bacterial small subunit ribosomal RNA
Source: RNAcentral